UAAGUUGAUGGGGGUAUUUAGAUCUUUUUGCGGCUCAAUAGGCAGCAGUGGGUUCUUUUGCUGCCAAAAUAUUUGAGUUGGAGUUGUCUUUGGAUCUUGUAUCAUCAAUUUGUUUCAUACUGGGUAGUAUAAGAAACGGCAAUUAUGUGUUAAAUGUAAGUCUAUAUCUGAACUUGUAUUUUUUAUUGUGGAUUGGUUUGUUUGGUUUAGAAUAAGAUGA
This 220-nucleotide unclassified non-coding RNA is filed under the name Hevea brasiliensis (rubber tree). Lineage: Eukaryota; Viridiplantae; Streptophyta; Magnoliopsida; Malpighiales; Euphorbiaceae. The record is from RNAcentral.